AAACCAAAAGUCUAUCUUACAUAUUUGCAUAAAGAUAGAAACAGAAGGCAAGAUCAUUUACAACUCCUUAGCACAGAGUUUAUGACAUGUAUGAGAAGACGUAUACUGGCAGAUUCUGAAGCAGAUGUAGUCGGUAGAUUCCUCUGAUGCAUCAGUAUCUGAUAGACCUGAUCAAAUAUUGGUCUCACAUGCAGUGCAAUCAAUGGAUCUGCAGGGUUUAUAGCAACAGCCACGUCUGUCAUCCAUGCCAG
This 251-nucleotide unclassified non-coding RNA is filed under the name Hevea brasiliensis (rubber tree). The record is from RNAcentral. Lineage: Eukaryota; Viridiplantae; Streptophyta; Magnoliopsida; Malpighiales; Euphorbiaceae.